GUCCCCUUUGGAGACAUCCGAUAACUGGAAUAGUACAGGGAAGAGUGGCAUGACCCCAGCGUAAAGAUGACUAUGUAUAAAUCGAGAAAUGAUCCAACAAAUA
Erigeron canadensis is the source of this 103-nucleotide small nuclear RNA. The record is from RefSeq and is a predicted model, not a curated record. Lineage: Eukaryota; Viridiplantae; Streptophyta; Magnoliopsida; Asterales; Asteraceae.